Molecule: long non-coding RNA, 401 nt
Organism: Zophobas morio
Lineage: Eukaryota; Metazoa; Arthropoda; Insecta; Coleoptera; Tenebrionidae
Exons: 3
Source: RefSeq, a predicted model, not a curated record
CUCUGGCCAAGCUGACAGAAUCUUAUCUUUCAGUUUAACCUUUAAUGGCUCUAUUUUUAUGACGCUUCUUUUACAAGGGCCCCAUUGAAGAACACCACAAAGCCAUAAGGUUUUUUUCAAAUUCACAAUUUCACUUGCCCCUCUCCCUCUUAACAUCAAAAUUCGGCACCAUUGUUCAACCGCUACUUUAACAAACUUUUCUUCAUUCAAGGCCUCCUUUUACCGCACUUGAGUGAGGAAACUGAUUCUGCUACUUUCUCUAUGUAAGGCGCCUGUGGCAUAUUUUCUCCUCAAGUUACUUUUGCUUCUACAUCCAAUAUCUAAGUUCUAUACCUAUUCUACAUUCUUUCCUUACAUACUGUCUCCGUUUGUGGGCAGCUUUGAUAUAGUUGUGCAUUAAC